Molecule: ribosomal RNA, 811 nt
Filed under: uncultured bacterium
Lineage: Bacteria
Description: bacterial SSU rRNA
Rfam family: Bacterial small subunit ribosomal RNA
Source: RNAcentral
AGAGUUUGAUCCUCGGCUCAGGACGAACGCUGGCGGCGUGCCUAAUACAUGCAAGUCGAACGCUUCUUUUCUACCGAGUGCUUGCACUCACUUGAAAAGAGGAGUGGCGGACGGGUGAGUAACACGUGGGUAACCUACCCAUCAGAGGGGGAUAACACUUGGAAACAGGUGCUAAUACCGCAUAAUAGUCGACAUCGCAUGGUGUUGAUUUGAAAGACGCUUUCGGGUGUCACUGAUGGAUGGACCCGCGGUGCAUUAGCUAGUUGGUGAGGUAACGGCUCACCAAGGCCAUGAUGCAUAGCCGACCUGAGAGGGUGAUCAGCCACACUGGGACUGAGACACGGCCCAGACUCCUACGGGAGGCAGCAGUAGGGAAUCUUCGGCAAUGGACGAAAGUCUGACCGAGCAACGCCGCGUGAGUGAAGAAGGUUUUCGGAUCGUAAAACUCUGUUGUUAGAGAAGAACAAGUAGGAGAGUAACUGCUCUUACCUUGACGGUAUCUAACCAGAAAGCCACGGCUAACUACGUGCCAGCAGCCGCGGUAAUACGUAGGUGGCAAGCGUUGUCCGGAUUUAUUGGGCGUAAAGCGAGCGCAGGCGGUUUCUUAAGUCUGAUGUGAAAGCCCCCGGCUCAACCGGGGAGGGUCAUUGGAAACUGGGAGACUUGAGUGCAGAAGAGGAGAGUGGAAUUCCAUGUGUAGCGGUGAAAUGCGUAGAUUAUAUGGAGGAACACCAGUGGCGAAGCGACUCUCUGGGUCUGUAACUGACGCUGAGCUCGAAGCGUGGGGGAGCAACAGGAUUAGAUACCCUGG